GAUAUGUCUUGUACAAUUUCUCAUUGAAAAUUGCCUCAGGAUAUUUGGAGAAGACAUCACUUCCCUCUUGGGCGAGAACUCAAUGAGUCGUGGUAACAGCGAGAAGGCUGCAGUAGUGUCAGGAAAUCCACCUCUUGAAUCCAAGCCAGUGAGAGUGAGAGUGAUUUACAAAAAGGCACAACUGCAGAAUGAUACGAAGACCCCAUCUGGCAUGGUUCCACCCAGCUACCUGUCUACAGUUUUCUAAGUCACUGAAGAGUACCAUCUACAUAAUGACACUUGACUCUUCCGUUUUCUUUAGUUCCUAUAAAAUAGAAAAUAAAAUGAACUGUUUUUCCAAUGAAUGAAAAAUGAGCCCCUUCCAAGGAACUUGCUCAUCCCAUUAGAAUUUUUCUUUUGCCUCAUCUCAUAUUAUCCAUAUUGAGGAAAUCUUCCCACAAAGUAUCUCCUCUGUCUUCAAUACCUACCAUCUCAUAUUAUGUACUUUGUUGCAUUGUAGUGUAUUGCAUAUUUUUAUACUGAUGCAAUAAAAGUAAUUCCAUCACUCAGUGGGUUAGACAACCAUUUUACUUGUUUAUGAUUCAUAUCAACACUUCAGUGGAGGCUCAUCUGAGCAGUUCUGGUCUCAGCUGAGGUCACUUGAGCACCUGCAGUCAGCUGGCAGCUCAUCUGGAGCUAACCUAGGAGUCUGUUUAUUGGUGUUGGCUCUCAGCUGGUCCCCAUGUCUUCAACGAGCUAGCCUGUCCUGCAUAUGGUGGAGGAAGAGUUGCCAGAAGCAAGAAAGGCUUUUCAAGAGUUAAUGUGGGAGAGGACUGUGCAAAGCACCAUGCCAAAGACAGUGAUUUACAAGACAAGGAGGCAUUCAUUAUUUAUUAAGACCACACAUGAUAAUCAAAGCUCAAGGCAGCACCACUACUACACACAUCCUUUUAUUCAUCGGCUUUUAAUCCUCAGUGGAUUAUAAUCAGCAUUUCCUAAAAGGCAUUCAAAGUGUGGUAGGAAGUAUCUUUGAAAUAGUAACUGAUUUUUUACCUCAGGUAUUCUUUGCCUCUAUCCUUGUCCCGGUCUUAAGCUGUCUUACGGACAACUAAAUCACUUCCUCAGGGAAUAGAAGCUAUAGGAGAAUAUGAGGAAAAGGGAGCCCUUUGUUGCUUAUGAGUUUUAAAAAUUUAGCUUUCUAGGAAACAAAACUUACUCAUGGCAUAGAGUAGAAGAUUUAGGUGGAAAUCUCAUGGGAAAAGCCCAAAAUCAUUAGGUACAUGGGACAUCUGCCCCUUUUCCUGGAUAGAAGCCAAAAGAAAGCAGGAAGGCCUCACAGAAUAGCUAAUUGACUUGUCUAAGAAAGACGGGGCCCCUGUGGGUCCACAUAGAGUUUCUUAUACCUCAGCAUGGAACAGAUCAGUAAGAAAAGUAUUCCCAUCAAUUCCAGAAUAGUAUGGAAGAACUACAGAGAGCCACCAGGUUUGAAAGACAUGUCUCAACAACAGUAGUACUGACCAAUUCCCCAGGACCAGAGAACAGUGAGGACAUCUCAGCAGAUGCUAGUAUACAUCAAUGACCCAAAGCAGCAGAUAAGUGCCACCUCGCCAUUUCAUAGCCUUCUAACUCCCUGGCACUAGAAGACUCCAGAACAUAGACACACUCCUGGGGGAAAUUAAGAGAUCCUGAAUUUCUACCAAUCUGGGAACAGAGAAUCAAACUAGACACCAAGCGAGCUAUUUAAAAACACAGAAUUGGACAUUUAUUACAUAUGUCAAUGUAUACAUUGAGGUUGGUAUCAAUAUAUAUAGAAUAUAUGAUCCAAGCACAGUUUUCCUAGAAAGGGUUCCCUGGUCAAAUAGGUUAGGGAAAUUCUGUAUUUUCCUUUUGAAGUCAAAUGCUCCAGUUUUUUCCACACUUAUUUGACAUUGCUUGGCCCUUUUGGAGUAACCCCAUUAAUUAAUGAUCCUGGGAACAUACAUUAAUAAACAUCGCUCUGAAUUUAUUUCUUCUUAACUCACAGAUUUUACCAUUUCACUCACCUGCUAAGAAGCCAUCAAUAGAUCUUUGAAUUUUUUUUUUUCAGAAAAAAAUGUCCUUUUUUAGAUCCUCCACAAUGCAACCUGCUCUAGUAAUCAAUUUUGUCUUCACUCUUUCCCAUUGUAGAUCCUUUGCUUUAGCUAGGUCAGAAACGGUACUGGCCCCUGAAUAAGUCACACUCACUUUUCUAACUAUAAUCCUCACCUCUCCUUGGUCUCUACGUUUCCACCCACUAACUAGGUAGCCAUCUGGGUUCUCCACUCCCAGAAUUUCACAAAGCCUUCCUGAUCUCAAAUUAAUUGUUCUUUACAUGAGCGCUUGCCCCUACUAGACAUUGGCUCGUAUGCUGCUUUGCACCGUCGGGAAUUAUGCCAGUGUGUUCAUACAUUAUUCAGCAAAUCCAAAUUCCUGUGGUAAACAACUGUAUCUUGUGUUAGUUUUAUAUUACUUUUAAUGCCUGGCUAAAUUUCUACUCAAAAAAAUAUGAAUGAAUAUGUUCAAUUUUCGAAGGGUGUAGAGAUUUUAUACACAUUGGUAGCAACUGCAAGUUUUAAAACUGAAGAGGUAGAAUACAGCACAUAUGGAAUUUCAAUGGGUGGCAAUAAGACAUCAUCAGUUUGACCAAUUUUUUUAGAUAUGACUUCACAGCCUUAUUCACAAGUUCUGGGAUAUAUUAUUUUUAUUCAUUAUGUAAAAAAUCUGAUAUCGGUGUGAUGCAUUUGGGAAUAAUUGCAUUUUUGUAUUAAAUUUCUUCUAAAUAUCAACAAUCCAGAAUAAAAGGGGCAAAAAAACAUGGCUGGGCAAUGCAUCUGUGAGUUUUUAAGCCAAGGAAGAUAUUAAAAAAAAAAAAAUUGAAAAGAAGAGGAGCUAGAAAUACCAGAAGGUAAAGAAAAGCUGAAAUUGAACUUAUUUGUCAAUGGCAACUCAAGAGAUUCCUGACCUAGGAAAAUGGUUAAUAAAUGUUAGUAUUUCCUUCAGGAGACUCAAGCAUAAUGUCUCCUUGAGAAUAACAAUUUAUUUCUUAAAUUUGAGGAAAAGAUCCUAGGAACUCUGAUAAACUGUAAAAGAACUUAAUUGCCUAAUCUAGAAUGAAUAAAAGGCAAUUAGACAUUCUGAUAUUGGCCUUUACCGUACCUGGGAGUAAGAUGUGUGUAGUCAUCAGUCAAUCUGCACUUAGUGAUGUAGUUAAGGUUAAACAUCUCCAGAAGUAAAAUAAAGGUACUUAGAAUGACUCUCCUAUUUUAUUCCAGAAAGAAAGCGACUCACAGGCUACCAAUAUCAGCAAAUUAAUAUCAUGGAUGGUUGGGAUUAAUUACCAUGAUAAAUUAAGUGGGAUAUAUAUAUAAUCACUCAAUGUUUAUUCCACAAAAGCAACAUGUAAGAAUUUGGUGAAUGGAAUAUAUAUUAGUACAAGAAGCCACUUCUUUUCAGAGAGCACUGAACGAUGCCUUUUAUAUUUUUCUGUAAUUCUUUCUAUGCUUAAGCCGAAUGGGCCAGUAAUACUCUGAAGAUUUAUAGUGGAUGGUGACUCUAUUUUCCAGUUUUGUUUUGUUUUACUUACCCACAACAUAAUUGGUGCUAAGAAAAAAUUGGCUUCCUUAUGGUCCUUGGCCUAAAUGUCAGUAUUAAUUUAGUUGGCUUAAUCUUUAAAAAAUGGUAUCAUUCCUUUGUCAAAUAAAAGAAACAACUAGAAAACCAAACUGUCAAAGGAAAGUUGUAAUUUCCUAAAAUGGAAAAAGCGAAACUGCUUUGUAAGAAUGGGAGUUUUUCCAAAAUGUAAAAAUAUAAAACUAGUUGGGAAAGAAAAAACAAAACAACACCGUCUUCAGGAUAGUGAUUACCUCUGUGGAAGGAAAGAAUGGGAUUGAGUAAAGGGGGUAAAAAGAAACUCCAAGCACACAUAUAUUAAUUUAAUUUCUUGAAAGAUUUAAAAAUGCUAACAUUUCACCACGUGCUUUACACUUCUUAAGAAAAUGUUAGAGGUGACUUUAUUACAUAAAUAUCCACAACAUACCCAUGCAUACACACACACACACACAAUUUGUAUAUAUAAACAUACAAAACAUUGUUAAAUGAAUAAGUAAACUACAGAAAUUCUUAUCAUUCAGCAAUUUUAUCUUUUUACCAUAGGUUUUGUGAUUCCUCUGUAUGGAUGACCUGGUUCACUCCGUCUAGUAUUCCAUUAUAUGAUAAUGCAUUUAUGUGUGUACACAUCUACCUUGAUCAAACUUUCUAGAGGCUUGCCUAGUUUAUUAGCUUUCAAAGAAAUAGAUUUUAAAAAUCAUCUCCAUUAAUGUUUUUUCCUAGGUUAUUAAUUUGUGUUUUGCUUUUACCAUUCUAUUGCUUCAACUUUCUUACUGUUUUCACUUCUUCAUCUAGCUUCUUGGAUUAAAUG
Molecule: long non-coding RNA, 4414 nt
Organism: Mirounga angustirostris (Northern elephant seal)
Lineage: Eukaryota; Metazoa; Chordata; Mammalia; Carnivora; Phocidae
Exons: 2
Source: RefSeq, a predicted model, not a curated record